RNAcentral lists this long non-coding RNA (1198 nucleotides) under Olea europaea subsp. europaea. The record is from RNAcentral. Lineage: Eukaryota; Viridiplantae; Streptophyta; Magnoliopsida; Lamiales; Oleaceae.
UGGUUUUUUAGUUAUGGUUAAUACUGGACAAGUCUACACUUAAGAAUGGUAAGUUCUGAUAAUGGAUGAUGCCGUAGCUUAUUGCUUAUCUGGAUUGGUAUUAGUUGCCUUUCAGAACUGGGAUUUCCUUAGUAACCUAUUUUUCCAUCCCUUACCCUGUGAAGGUUGUAUGCUUUUGAUGUAAACGGCAACUCUUUCUUCCCCAUGUUUGCGCUGCUUUAUGGUUAGUACAAAGUCAAAAUGCAUUCCUUAUUGAAUAAGCUUUUUCAUAAUACACACUGAACUUCUAUUCACAUUGUUUUUCUUAGAGACAGCUGUACAUUAUUUUCCGUCGCCUCUUCUGGUAAGCUCAUGGUUUUGUUCCUGUUUUGCUGUCAAAUUUGCAUUUCCUACUAUCAUUACCUCAAUUUUCUAGGCUAUGAUGGUAAUACGAGUUUUACUGGAAAUAGUGUCUUUUUUUCUUAUUCAAAGCCAUUCUAAGGAAUUUUACAUAGAAAAUUGAGAAACAUAUGAAAGUGGCUUGUGUUUAAAAGAAAACUCUUAUUGUCAAAAUUUACUGAUUUUCUCGUCCGCUAUGCAGUAUUGCCACUAUUGGAGAGAACAACAUUUUUUCUGUAUCCAAUUUGUUUUGUCAUUGUCAUAUCUCCUAUCUGUAAGUAUUUACUAUACCUGUUUGUUAUGCAACAUUUAUUGCCAUAUAGAUGAAUAUUUAUAUCUUACAGUGAUUUUGAGCAGCUGCAACCCAUCAAGAUACCUUAUGAACAUGUACUUCAGUCGAUUGCUAUAGAUGCUGCUAACAGGCACUUUAGAUGACGUAUAUGAUGAUCGAAGGAAAUUCCUCAAAAUACUCUAAAGAACACAAGACAGUUAAUGUAUUCAUUUACGCGUGAGGAAGACGACCGGCGUGACCCAGGAAAGAUUCAGUCAGUCCAGUGGGGCCUUUCUUUAUUUGACCGAAAAUGAGUUAGUUUUGCCGUACUGAGAAAUUAGAUUAGUGAAAUCGUUACAUAUGGGUUUUGCGUCUUAUUUCCGUCAUCUGCUUGAGACAAUUAUUUGUGACACCUUAUGAUGGGAAGUAGUGAAUUCCCUUGCAAUGCUGCUGUUUUAAGCAAUGUUGAUAAUAUAGGAUACUUGUCAAACAACAGAAAUUUCUCUUUUGUUCCCCAAAAUUUUUUCUUUUGUGAAUUUUCAUUUUUAC